Molecule: ribosomal RNA, 590 nt
Filed under: uncultured bacterium
Lineage: Bacteria
Description: partial 16S ribosomal RNA
Rfam family: Bacterial small subunit ribosomal RNA
Source: RNAcentral
UGGGGAAUAUUGCACAAUGGGCGAAAGCCUGAUCCAGCAAUGCCGCGUGUGUGAAGAAGGCCUUCGGGUUGUAAAGCACUUUUGUCCGGAAAGAAAUCCUUGGCUCUAAUACAGUCGGGGGAUGACGGUACCGGAAGAAUAAGCACCGGCUAACUACGUGCCAGCAGCCGCGGUAAUACGUAGGGUGCAAGCGUUAAUCGGAAUUACUGGGCGUAAAGCGUGCGCAGGCGGUUUGCUAAGACCGAUGUGAAAUCCCCGGGCUCAACCUGGGAACUGCAUUGGUGACUGGCAGGCUAGAGUAUGGCAGAGGGGGGUAGAAUUCCACGUGUAGCAGUGAAAUGCGUAGAGAUGUGGAGGAAUACCGAUGGCGAAGGCAGCCCCCUGGGCCAAUACUGACGCUCAUGCACGAAAAGCGUGGGGAGCAAAACAGGAUUAGAUACCCUGGUAGUCCACGCCCUAAAACGAUGUCAACUAGUUGUGGGGAUUCAUUUCCUUAGUAACGUAGCUAAACGCGUGAAGUUGACCGCCUGGGGAGUACGGUCGCAAGAUUAAAAACCCAAAAGGAAUUGACGGGGUCAUAGCUGUUUCCU